Molecule: long non-coding RNA, 4996 nt
Organism: Gasterosteus aculeatus aculeatus (three-spined stickleback)
Lineage: Eukaryota; Metazoa; Chordata; Actinopteri; Perciformes; Gasterosteidae
Source: Ensembl
GGGAGGACGAGUCGCAUUGUAGUGGUAACGUAACAGCGACAUGGCGCUGAGCCCAUGUAUAAAACCACCCGGGUAAGAAUCAUGGAAACAGCUCAUUCAUCAGCCAGGACUCAAAUGGACCUCAUAAAGUAAGACAACGUAUACAACUGAGAUCAGCACUCUGAGAUCAUCCCAGAGUCAACUCAGAUGUUUCUCCAAAGUGAGACGUCUCGAGAACAGCAGUUUGUGUAUGUGUGUGUGUGUGUGUGUGUGUUUGGCAUCUUUGUUUAUGUUUAAUCCGUGUUUUUUGCCCGCGUGUUUGCGCGUUAAAACGCAUGUGAUUAUACACAUAUACCAGCAUGCACAAUUGUGUAUGUACACUGUUCAAGAGGUCAUGCAGUUCCCCACACAUCCCUUUAUAAUGUCACGUAUACACCACCAGACUCUCUCUCCCCACACAAUCAUUCUCUCCCAUCUAACACAGAUAAUUCGAUCUGCUAUUAUCGCAAAACAAUCCACCCUCUUAGUAACGGUUGCUAGGUCUAACAAACUUGAGGAACAAGAAACAUGACGGCAAGGUGCGGGUUAACUGUGGGCAAUGGAAGGACACAUUCAUGAUGAUUAACUUUAGUCAGGUGACUUUUUUAAUGUCAUGUACAUAAAAAAUACAGAAUCAAGACCUGGGGAACCGACCCUUCCGCUGGAGAGUGAGGGGUUCUGGUGCUCGGGAACACUUUGUUCAACAGGAACCGCCAAAAUCAACACAACAUGAGAGCUCCCUGCUGCAGUUGUUACCAUCUGCACUGUCCUGUGUUGAUGCAGAUGUGGAGACGAAUGUAAUAUGGCUUUCAUGGUAAUGUGACUUUUACCCAGGCAUAGCAUCGUAGAACAGCAAACGGGAACCUCCUUGUUUUAAAAUUGCUCAACUGUUUCACAGAGGGGAAGGGGGCGGGAUCGAGGAAACCGUGAAGCAAAACUUGCAUAUUCUUGCCUAAAAAUCUCUUUUUUUCCCUUUUCUGCAGUGUGGCGCUAUAAAUGUGAGCGUAACGUACUCUAAAUGUGUGUCGUACAGGGAGGUGCAUGCUGUAUGAGCAUGUGAUAGUGAGGAUGGUGUUAUCAGUGCAGUGCUGGGACUAAUUAAAAUCCUCCCCAGCAACCUUUGAGGCAACAACACGGACAAUCAACCUCACUUACGCUCACAACACUGCAGUGCACCAGUGCUUGUUGGAGCAAAGGGAAACUGUGUCCUGCGUGCACACGUUUUUUCAUCUUUUCAUCUGCACUUGCCUGUCAUGUUAGUGUGAGGACAAUUUAGAACCGUAUGAUGCCGGCAGUGGGAAAAAGCCAGUGUAGGAAAUGAGGGAUGAUGGCGGUGAUACAAUCCCAGAGCUGGAAGCACAGCGGUAUCUACCUGUCUAGACACUGCACAGCUGUCUCCGGUAGAACGCCAGCUGCACGGACCACUAACUGCGUCAGAAAUAUUGACAUGCCAGAGCCAAGACUCUACCGAUGGAGCGCUGAGCGAAGGCCUGCUGCCGUCAUCCACACGCACAGAGGAUGAGGGAUUGAGGGGUUGCGGAGCGGUUUAUCUCUCGUCGCCGCUCUUUUAAGAGAAACGAGAAGGGAUGAGCUGAGACGGAUUGAGUGGACUCAAAAGUAACAGGAUUGUAAUUAUUUACCCUAAACGUCCUGUUGAGACUGGCUGGAAUUUACUCCUUUCAGAACCGGACGCAGCGUGUUUGUGGGGAGCGCGGGGGCCAUCGGGCACGAACGCUCCGAGCUUUGUGUGUGUGUGUUUUUAGCCUGUUCUGCGUCACUGCUGCUCUCUUGUUUAUGCAGAGGCUGUGUGGAUAUGGAGAGGUGGGAUAUCCAAGCCUCCCACUGUCACCUGAUAUCUGUGGAAAAUGGAUCAGAUGAUUGGACGAGUCCACUCGACUCUUCGAGCAGAAAGUCCCGUUUCCCCUCACGUCAGAGCCUGUUGCAAAACCGUCGUUUUGACUCUCGCCAAGAGGUUGACUGCUGCAACGUAAGGGAGGCAGAGAAGGGCGGACGAGAGGCCGGGUGAGACGGAGAGGAAGAGGCCCAUAUUGAGUUACACAGACGAGGGUCUGUGUAUUCUCGGUGGACCAGGGAAGAUGCAGGGUAAAUGAAGCGUGCUGUAGCAUGGCGGCUUCUGCUUUAUCCUUGCACCGUGUGUGUGUGUGUGUGUGUGUACGUGUGGUUUAGACAGCGGCCUCUUUGAGCGCUCUGUUCUCUCAUGGUUCUAAUAUGUCGGGGGCCCCGCUGUCCUCGGCCCCUGACCGAUGUCCAAAGAUAAGAGGAUUAAUGCAAGCCAAAAGUGAAGAGAGAUGAAUACAAAUGGAUCCACAUGAGGGACCCACCAAAUUACACAAUCUGCACUGCGCAGAAGGAUCUGCUUAUGCAACGACUCAACUGUUUCAUUUGGAAUUAAAUCGUUGAAUUGUGAUGCUUUGUGUCUCUUCUCCAGCGAGUCUGUGACCUGUAGCACAAGGGCCUCCCCUUGUGUUCUGUUGCAAAACUACAAAUCUACUGAUUUGUUAAGUACAAAUUAAAUCAACAAAACACAGGUAAGAAAGUUAAGUCAUUCGUUGGUAAAAUCCUGGCAUUGUUCCAGAUAUCUUGAAUUUAAUAACUGAGUGAUGCAAAUGGACUUUAUUUCCUUGAGUCUUGUUUUUGGUUAUGUUGACCGUGUAACUAUUUCAAUAUGUUUACAGGAAACUUGUCUUGCACGUCUUUAUUGUCAUACAAAAUGCCCUUUGACUAUUUACUAUUUGUGUUUUUAAUGAAAGAAUAAGACAAAGAGGGAUAAAGACAAAGAACAAGUUUGAGAUUUCCAAAAACUUCAUGAUUGUAGUUCACAGAAAACUUUUUGUUUUUAACGGACCCCUGCAGUCAGACAGCAACGCGUAUGAAUGAAGUGAUAUUAGGAAACCAUUCAGUCGUUACUGAAGAGACUGUCGAGACCUGCAAGUAAUGCAAUGUUCACAUUGUCCCCUUGUAUUUAACUUUGAAUUGAGUCAAUGAAAUACCAACCAUGCACUCAAGCCACAUGAUUUCACUUUUCAGGGAAUGCAACAGAGAUCUGCUAGACAUUUUUAUGAUACGUUUCUUUUGAACAUUUUUCGCCCCUAAUAUUUGUUAACCUUUUUUUGUUAAAUUCAAUUUAUGACUUUUAGAGAAACGUCACACACAACAUCAUUCUUUUCCAAAAUGCUUCGUCUGACAUUAACCUUGUUAACAAUACAAAUAGUUUAGUUAUAAAUGUCAAAAGUGUUAUUUUUAAAGCAGCAAAUGGAAGUCUAGACUGUAAUCUACUCACAGCUAUACCUCGGUCUCCAUAGCAUUGAUCCUUUUGUUGACGGCAAGACUCCUCAAGUCUGGACCGCAACCAGGGAGUCCAGCUCCCUGAAAGGGGAGAAUGAAAGCCGUGUCUUUUGUUUGAGCCUGUAGCCUCUUUGAGGGUUCAGGUGAAGUCUCCUUUUUACUGAAAUAACUUUCCACAGACAAGAUUCAGAGCAAUUCUUGUGUAGUAUUUGUUUCGCUGGGGAGGCGAGAGUCUCUCUGGAUGGACUGUGAGUGUGUUUAUUGUUAUACUAUUUUGUAUUAUUGAUGACAAAGAAAAGAUAAAGAAAACAAUAUCACGGCUAGAAAGAUUAUUUGCAAAUUGUCUUUGAACAGAUGAGAUAAAAAAAUUGGCAGCAAACUGUAAAAAUAAAAAAAGAGUAAAAGAUUCAAAAGUUUAAAGAGCAUUUCAUCUGUCAUCUCAUCUCGUCUUCAACCGCUUACUCAAACUUCCCUUUCCCGUGCCACAUCUGCCAGCUGUGACUGGGGGAUCCCAAGGCGUUCCAGGGCCAGUGUGGACAUGCUUGUACUCAUGAUCGGUCAUCACCCAUCCCUCAGGACGAGAGGUAAGACUGGCCGGCAACUGUGGGCGAGUGGAAGACGCGGUCGCACCACAAUCAGAGGAUUGGCCGUUUGAUCCCUGGCCCGGCUUUUUCGCCGCCCACGCUGCUCGGACUCUCGGGCCAAACUCGCACUCCCUGAGGUACUUGAACUCCUUCACUUUGGCUGAGGACGUCAACGAUGCCAAACUCCACAAGAUACCAGAACUUAGGACUGAAUCUUCAUGGCUGAUAUACAAAACAAAGGUUUUCCUAAAGCAUCGGGGCAAAGUAUUUUUUUUAAAAAGCACGCUCAUCCCAGUCGUCGUUGGCCCCCCGGGGGCCCGGUAGGGCCGACACACUAGAAACAGACAUCCUCACACAGCUUCUCCUACGGCCAGUUUAGAGUAAACAAUUAACCUAAGCUGCACGUCUUUAUGCUGUGAGAGGAAGCAGGAGGCGGCGGUGCUCCACAGAUCGAUGUCAAAUCUUACUGCCCAAUACGCAUGAAAUGCACAGCUGGUGAAAAAAAGAAAGAAAAGAAAGGCAGUAUUGAGCUGAAGAACUCCCCCUUUUUCCACGUGCAUCUGUAAAUGGGUUGAUAUCAGCGGGAGGAGGUGCACAACAGAAGGAGCGCUGCUGAUGGUGGUCGUGGAGGCCUGUCGACUCAACGGGGAGCCUCCGUUACUCAUAACCGAGCGCAGAGAGGAUUCGCUGUCUCAUUCUAAUCUCCAGUCUGCCUCUUACCUUGUUUCCUUUUGCCCAUCUCCUGAUGUAACUUCAUGAGCUGCUCCCCAAAGCUCCACAGCCAGUAUCCACUCGGAGUGGGAGCAUUAACUGGGCUUUGCCGAUGCAGCAUCACGUCUCUCUUCCUUGUUGUUUCCGUCUCCGAGCUGCCAACCGAUGAUUGGACAUGACGGGGGAAGCCGUAGCUUUGGUGUGUAAGCGCUUUGACCCAGACCAGGGCAGCGGGUGGGAAACUCGCUUUUGUUGUGUUUUAGAGCUUCUUUAGGGCUUUUUGAUUUGGCAAGUGUUUUUGUUUGCUUCACAUAGCGCUGACGAUCAACAUGAAGAACUGUGUGCGUAAAUAAAUAAAGAUUAAAAAAAUUGAUGGA